GUUGAACGCUGGCGGCGUGCUUAACACAUGCAAGUCGAACGGAAGGGCUCCUGCUUGCCGGGGUACUCGCGUGGCGAACGGGUGAGAAACCCGUGGGUGAUCUGCCCUGCACUUCGGGAUAAGCCUGGGCGACUGGGUAUACUACCGGAUAGGACGAUGGUUUGGAUGCCAUUGUGGAAAGUUUGUCGGUAUGGGAUGAGCUCGCGGGCUAUCGGCUUGUUGGUGGGGUAAUGGCUUCCCAAGGCGUGGACUGGUAGUCGGCCUGAGAGGUGGUACGGCGACAAUGGGACUGAGGUACGGCGCAGACUGCAACAGUGGACAGCAGUGGAAAGUAUGGCACAGUGAGGGCAAGCCUGUUGCGACGGCGCUGCGUGUGGGAAGACGGCCAUCGGGUGGGAAACGCCAGUCACUAGAGACGAAGCUGAAGUGACGGUACCUGGAGAAUAAGCACCGGCUAACUACGUG
Molecule: ribosomal RNA, 465 nt
Filed under: uncultured bacterium
Lineage: Bacteria
Description: partial 16S ribosomal RNA
Rfam family: Bacterial small subunit ribosomal RNA
Source: RNAcentral